Molecule: ribosomal RNA, 501 nt
Filed under: uncultured bacterium
Lineage: Bacteria
Description: bacterial SSU rRNA
Rfam family: Bacterial small subunit ribosomal RNA
Source: RNAcentral
AACGAACGCUGGCGGCGCGUCUUAAGCAUGCAAGUCGAACGGCAAGAGGUAGCAAUACCUCCUAGAGUGGCGGACUGGUGAGUAACACGUGGGUGACAUACCCUUCAGAUGGGGAUAGCUAUUAGAAAUAGUAGAUAAUACCGAAUACGAGCACAGGGGUUAGAGAUCUGUGAGGAAAGGAGCUAAGGCUCCGCUGAAGGAAUGGCCUGCGGCCCAUUAGCUAGUGGUGAGGUAAGAGCCCACCAAGGCGAUGAUGGGUAUCCGGCCUUAGAGGGUGAACGGACACAUUGGGACUGAGAUACGGCCCAGACUCCUACGGGAGGCAGCAGCUAAGAAUAUUCCGCAAUGGACGAAAGUCUGACGGAGCGACGCCGCGUGGAUGAAGAAGGCCGGAAGGUUGUAAAAAUCCUUUUGAAACUGAAGAAUAAGCGUUGUAGGGAAUGACAGCGUGGUGACAGUAGGUUUUGAAUAAGCAACGGCUAAUUACGUGCCAGCCGCCGC